This is a long non-coding RNA of Suricata suricatta (meerkat), 1630 nucleotides long. RefSeq lists it as uncharacterized. The transcript is spliced from 3 exons. The record is from RefSeq and is a predicted model, not a curated record. NCBI's taxonomy places the organism in Eukaryota, Metazoa, Chordata, Mammalia, Carnivora, Herpestidae.
UUAGGCUGGGUAAGCAGAGCAGACUCUGAAGUCAGACUGCGUGGACUGAAAUCCCCGGUCCACCACUCGGCAGCCGCGGAUCUGCGAGGCUUAGCUGUGACCAAGAAAGACACGUUCUCUGCCUUCAUGGAGGGACCUUCUAAACAUCCAGACCUGGAGGCUGUGUUCUAGAGCCGGGAGGCGCUUUCCCCAGACCACACAGGAAGUCAACGCCAGGACUACCGGGUCCCUUGAGAUCAGCGUUGUGGGAUUGGAUGUGUUCCAGACUAUUAUAAAAUUUUAAAUAACUUUUACCAUAUUGUUAUUGUUAGUGUGUUACAGGCGUUGCUUAGAAAAUACAGAUAGAAUAUGGACAUGUUCUUCCAGUGCUUUUAGUCCACCUUUUAAUGUUAAAAAUAGUUUCUUUGAAAUGCUUUUCUUGCGCACUUAAAUUGAAGAUGCUUUUUGCUGCCAGUACCAGAAAGCCCGUCUCAAACGGAGGGGCUCACCUUCUCACAUAACAAAGGGUCUGAAGGUGGGCCAUUGCUGGUGAUGCUCCGGAGGCUCAAAACCUCCAGGGCCAGCAGUGAUGCGCGUGGCGUCUCCCUGGAGUUUUCCAGAAGGCUGCCAUCAGCUCAAGCCAUACCAUCCACACCCCGGACAGACCACUGGGCAGGAGUGGAGGCAGACGGAAGGCAAACCUCUCCCAGAAGAUGUCACAGGCCAAGCUCUCCUUGAGUCUUUCCGUCGGAAACUGGACAUGUCUGUGGACGCUGGGAAAACAGAAAGCCAGCUUGCUAUGACUGGCUUAGACCAAGACGUGCGUCCUUUCUUUGGUCUGGUCUAAUGUCGGAAUAGACAGGAAAUGAGUCAUCCGACGGUCACAGGGCUUGCUACUGACACCCAGGAGGUGCAGAUGAGCCAGAGAAAGAGGCCAUCCAUGAUUUUUACAAUACACGAGUACAAUCUGUGAAGCCUGAAUUAAACUACGGUGUACACUGUGUUAAUCUUAUUUUUUUCUGUAACAAAACAGCUAGGACGCCAUCCAUCCAUUUAGAUUUUCUCUCCUCUGUGAUUUUUCCCCACUCGAUUGUGAGCUCUUCUACCUCGUUGUCAGUGGCUGCAUGAGACGUUGGUGUGCGCAUGAACCGCAUGAACCACAGUGCCUUUGACCGACCAUCUGCUUCAGAUGCGACUGUCCCCGUGGCUUCUCUCUGUCGUAAACACACUCCAACGGAGGCCCUUCUGUUCACUUUUUCCAAAUUUCAGAAUUAUCUCCUUAGAGCAAAAUACUUGAGGUUUUUGACUGAAAUGUAUGCAAAAAUUUUACCACUUUUAUACAGAUUUCAAAUGUACGCUCCAUGAAGACUGCCAUUUUCAUUAUGCCAUGCUCAUGGUCAAGUGCGUGCUCCACCAUACAAGACCUCACUGUUAAGGAAAUUAGCUGAUGUGAGAAUUAGAAAUAUAUCAGGUCAUUGUUGUCAUCUGUAUUUCUUUUAUUACUAGUCAGGCUGAAUUUUAGAAAAGUGUGUGUUGUCUGUUUUUCUGUAAAUUGCUCAUUUAUAUCUUCUAAGUUUUCUCUUGGUGUUGGCGAUUCACAGUUGAUUAGAAAAUGGACAGAAGGUAAAUAAAAUUGUUCAUAAUUUCCUUA